AGUUUAUAACUAAAAAUAAACCAAUAGGAAAGCUAGCCAUGGCAUAGUGGCUACAUGCAUGGGAUGUGAAGCCACACUUCCUGAGUUUGAAUCCCAGCUCUGCCUCAUCUUAAAAGUGUGAUCAUAGAGAGUGUGCCAACAUCAUUCUGAAUGAUUGGGAUACACGAGUGGGAGUGAGUGAAGUGGACAAUGGCAGCAUUUUAGAAAAGGACUAAGGGUCAUGGGAUACAUGAACUUCAGGCUUAAUCUCUGUGUGAGAAAAACAGCAUGAAGAUAAUCAACUCUAUGUCAGAAGAAAUUGGCAACACUACUAACCACGAGUAAUGCACACCGAAGGCAAGCUACCUGAGCCCUGAUCCCCCACCUGCCACUCUAGCGAUGUGAUUUUGGGCCAGUUAAUUAGUUCCUUUCUGCCUCACUUUCCCCUUCAUAGGGUUGUGAA
Gorilla gorilla gorilla (western lowland gorilla) is the source of this 442-nucleotide long non-coding RNA. RefSeq lists it as uncharacterized. The transcript has 3 exons. The record is from RefSeq and is a predicted model, not a curated record. NCBI's taxonomy places the organism in Eukaryota, Metazoa, Chordata, Mammalia, Primates, Hominidae.